GCCUCCUUCUCUCCUCGAGCGGCACAAUUUCAUGUCUCUCAGAAAUUUUAGGUUAAUUGUGCGAGGAGGUAGGGGUUCUAGGGUAGCCAUCUCAUCGUUCAGGUUAAGCGCCCGAGCAAUAGAUGUAAUCAAUCCACCAAAAGAAAUCGGUCUCGCUUUAUUCAUAGUUAAAAUCAUAUGAGCAAGCAUGAACGAGACCAAAUUAAUACGUCUAUUUGUGAGGCUUCCUUGUAAAAAUAGAAGCUCUCUAGCAUUAACCUUAUUUGAAU
Molecule: long non-coding RNA, 269 nt
Filed under: Lathyrus oleraceus (garden pea)
Lineage: Eukaryota; Viridiplantae; Streptophyta; Magnoliopsida; Fabales; Fabaceae
Description: Pisum sativum (pea) long non-coding RNA (PSAT_LNC023916)
Source: RNAcentral